ACCAAAAGGAAUUGGAGACCUUAUAGGACUCAAUAACUUAAAUUUGUCAAGAAAUCAUUUACAAGGAAAAAUUCCUUGGGAGAUAGGAGGAAUGGAAUCAUUAGAAUCCCUUGAUCUAUCGAUAAAUGAUCUUUCUGGUAGCAUUCCUGAGAGCUUAUUGACUUUAUAUUCCUUGAGCUACUUGAAUUUAUCAUAUAAUAAUCUUUCGGGAAUGAUACCAACUGGUUAUCAACUCCAAACACUCAAUGAUCCAUCCAUUUACAUGGGCAAUGCCGACUUAUGUGGACCACAAAUUUUCAAAAAUUGUUUUAUGCAAGAGUACAAAAAGGAGAUUUCCGAGUGGUUAUGGUUCUAUAUUAGCAUGAUACUAGGAUUUGUGAUGGGAUUUUGGAUAUUUUGUGGUAUUCUCUUCCUCAAAGACGCAUGGAGGCAUGCUUAUUUCCAUAUCAUUGAUGAUAUGUAUGAUUGGGUUUGGGUGCAAUGGCAAUUAAUUCUUCGACGAUUGUUGAGACGUUAAUCCUAAACUUCUAGUGUGGAUGAUCCCGAGCUUCACGGUAGCUGAGGAAAAUGUAUGUCAUCACUCUACUUUUUAUUUAUAUGGUAUUUUGGAUUCCUAGCAGCUAGCUGUGAUCAAUGAAAAAAGCAUUUGUAUUGUUGAUCUAAGAAAGGAUGGGCUGCUAUAUUUAUGGUCUUCUUCUAUUUGAUGUUUGCAUAAUUAUAACAUCAUGCAAGAGUUGGCUCAUAGUUUUAAAGCAGAGAAAUAUUACAAAAAGAAGAGAACUACAACCAAGUCUUUCGUAUGAAGAUAUAGUUUAAAAAUAUGCUAUAUUGAUUUUAAAGGAACAAACACAUUACUUUCGAAAUAAUAAUAAAUUAGAGGAAGAGAGGGGUGGCUUUGGCAGGGGAAGAAAAGAGGAGAAAAAAAAAAAAAAGGAGGUGUGAGAUUUAAUAAGGAUGUUGUUUUUAUUUCAAGAGAGUAAGUUUAAAAUUUGAAAGAGUAUAUAUAUGUAUGAUUUUGAAUUCCUAUUCAUUCCCUACCAAUGAGAGAGUAAAUAGAGCUAUAGAUUAAUUAUUCUAAAAUUAUUGAGUAUCUUGUGAUUUUAGAGAAAAAAAUAGUCAUUCUCACAUAAGAAAGAAAAUAUUAUGAUUGUUUAUUGGAUUGGUUUAUAUUAUUCGAAUGAUUUAGAAAAGGAGAGUUUUGAUUACCAUAUCAGUUAUAAUAAUAUAUGAUUAACAUAAGUAUCGAAUGAUUAUGUCUAACUUGUUUUCUAAUUUAAUAAUAUAUUUGUUAAUAAUGAAGUUAUGUGAUUUGAAAAUGUUAAAUUGGUUUUUGAAAAUAAGCUUUUUGAUAUUGCAUUUGUUUAAAAUAUUAGAAUAUUCAAUUAUUAUAUUUUCCAAUGCUAUAUUGUUGAACAUAUUUCAAAUAAGGUGUCCAUAUGUUACUUUAGAUGAUGGUUAAUUGUUCUCAAUUAGUUGGUUUUGAUUUAGACUUUAUCAAUUGUUGUUGUUCUAACAUAGAGAUAAAUGUAUUACCUAUAUCAUGGAGAUUAAAUGUGAUUUUGAUCCUUGUCAUCACCAGGAUACAAUAUGGUCAUAGCCAUUAGCACUUGGACUUCUAUUUUAAUAUAUGCCCUUUGUUAUAGUCAUGACCAUCAAUGAAUUUAGAUAUGAAGGCUUAGUUAUACUUAUACUGAUUCAUGAUUGAUUAAUAAUAAUCUUGGCAUUAAAAUGAAAUCUAUACACUUAUGUUUUUCUAUGCAAAUGUAUUAAAAAAUUAUGGUGUCUUAUGUGCUUAUUAAGCUAAAAAGUUGUGAUUUGAAAAGCAUGUAAAGAUAUGUUUGCUCUUUAUAUAAUUGUAUAGUUUUAUAAAAUGCAUCCAUGAGAAGUUUUGCUAAUAUAUGAUUUUUGGUGUUUACUAAGAUGUGGUUGCUCAUAUCCCUGUUGUUAAAAUUUUUCAGAUGCCUGCGAGUAUAUUGAAUUUGGUUAUGUAUCAAGACAACAAAUUAUAUUGUUUAUGGUUCAAACUCUUGAGACUUGUGAUGUAAUAAUCCAUUAGUGAGAUGUCUUUGGUGAACUUAUUUGUAUUUGAGAGCUCAAUAUGUCGCUGCUGGAUAUUAUAUGGAUGUAUAUGUUUUGUAUUGUGUCAAGUGCAUGUAUUUGGAUUUAAGUUGCGUACAAGUUUAAGCCUUGCAAUUCUCAUAUGAAAACUUGUGGAACUGUGGUUAAAAUAUUAUGACAUAUGUUGUGAUGAUGAAUGAUUAAGAGAGCGAGAUGUUGACAACAACUCUGCCAUCACCUUCAAAACCCUUAGUUUCUAUCGUCUUUAGCUUUAUGGAAUAAUAAAAAUGAUAACCUAACACAGCUCUAUCGGUUAAGCCUUAACCAAUGAGAGUUGUAUGCUCGAAUAGGCAGGAGAAGUUUGACCGAAUUGGCAGCCAAUAGCAUGGACAUGAAUCAAUAGCCAAUAGAUGGAUACAGUUGCCCAGAAGGUGAGUUCUUCAAUACAUAAAAUCUAAAAAUCUAAAAAUACAUAAGUAUUUUUCACAUCUUGUUAUCUCUCUUAAAAUCUAAAAAUACAUAAAAUAUCUAUAGAAGAAAUAAACCUCUUCAAUACAACUCCUAAGUUAUUAACAUUCUAACCCCUUUAAUAGAGCGCUAAUUUAAUGAUAAGAUUAACCCAAGUCAUUCCUCCACUCUAUAUCAAGUUUUUCUAAUCAAAACAAAUAUUAAUAGACUAUGAGUAGAAAAUAAAGUAAUGUUAAAUGCAACUUUUACUCUGUCACUCCAACGCAUCUCUAUAUUAUGCCAAAGGCAUGAAUUGGGCAUCCAACUAACAAUAACUCCACUCUCUCUCUCUCUCUCUCUAUGUGUGUAUAUUCUUAAUAGGUGGCAUACAUUUAUGUAUAUAUAUUCUUCAAAUCUUGCUCUCUCUCUCUCUCUCUCUCUCUCUCUCUCUCUUAAAAUCGAUAGAUAUAUGAUAUUUAUAAAAGAAACAAACCCCUUCAAUUAUGUUUCAAUUUAGUGGUAAAACUGAUCCAAAUCAUUCGUCUACUCUAUAUUAGGUUUUUGUAGUAAAACAAAUAUUAAGAGACUAGCAAAAAAUAAAGUAUGUUAGACGUAAAUGUUGACUCUGUCAUGUCUUUGUAGUAAAACAAAUAUUAAGAGAUUAGUAAAAAAUAAAGUAUAUUAAACAUAAAUGUUGACUCUGUCACUCCAAAUCAUCUCCACAUUAUGCCAAAGCCAUGAAUUGGACAUUCAACUAACAUCUUUUGAUUAUUUAAUUUUGGAUUGAAGUAGUAAGAGUCGUUUAUUAUGUUAUUAAUCAAUCUCUCUCAAUAGUGAUUAACUUGAUGUGGAUUGAUAAGCUAGUUGAUUAUUCUUCCUUAUCACAUCACAUAGUAUUUACAUCUUUUGAUUAUUCAAUUUUCAUGUGUUAAGACUCUUAUCUUAUUCGGCCAAGUAUAUAUAUAUAUAUAUAUAUAUAUAUAUAUAUAUAUAUAUAUAUAUAAUUCCUAAAGUUUCAAUGUAGACUCAACUACCUUGAUUUGUUUUACGAUUAUUGUUCUUUGUUAAAUUAGAAUUUGAUUACAUAAUAUAUGGAUUGGAUUCAAAGGCAACCAAUGUCCAUUUUGGAAAGAAUUUCUAUCUUAAUCCUUUUUAAAUCUACUCAAAGAAAUUUAAGAACACCCAAAUGUUUGCCUGUGUAUCUCUCUCAUCGAGAUCUUAGAUUUAUGGUAUAUGUACCAAAAUAAUUUCUAAUUUAUUAAAAAUUAAUUUUUCUAUUUAGAACUCUAAUCUAAAUUCUAAUUUACAGCGAGUCAAAGUCUUCUUGGCUAGCGACGUGUAGAAAAAGAAUCCAUGGAAUGCACAAUCAAAUUUAAAGAAGACGACCCCACGCCUGUGCUUAUCCCACUUAUUGAGACCGAUGCUAUCAGUUUCCAAAAUUCUAUUUGAUCAUGGAUAAUGGGUACCAUCCACAAUAUGGUGGUAUGUGGCACAAUAUCAAAAGAACAAUCAAGAGAAUUAAUAAGGGAACAUAUACUCAAAAUAACUUUUAUAAAAUUUAUGUGGUCAAGCAUUUGUAUUCUUCAUUAUGCAAAAAUGUAAGGAAUAAAUCUAUCUAUCUCAGGAGUCACUCCAAAAGAGUCUAGUAAGUGUUUUUCUUUGGCACUUUAUCAAAACGUAGGUAAGAAACACUUGAGGAUUUCUUUCAGUCAGUUAACUGUUUCUGAGUCAAAGUGGUGUAGUCUCGAUCCAUUCUAUGCAUACUUUGCUUCACGCUCAUGAUCCGCAUGUUGCUCUGCAUCAUAACGACUCUAAUUUUAAAAAUUUUAAAACCCUUUCAAUAUGACUCUAAUUUAGUAGUAAAAUCGAUCCAAGUCAUCCGUCUACUCUAUAUCAGGUCUUCCUAGUAAAACAAAUAUUAAGAAACUCUAGCAGAAAAUAAAGUAUGUCAGACAAACGUUGAUUCUGGCACACCAAAUUAUCUCUACAUUAUGCCAAAGUCAUGAAUUGAACAUCUGACUAACAUCUUUUGAUUAUUCAAUUUUGGGUGGGUUAUAGUAAGAAUCGUCUGUUAUAUUAUUAAUCAAUCUCUCUUAAUAACGAUUAACCUAAAGAUGCAUAGUAAGAUUGAUAAGUCAGUUGAUUAUUCUUUCUUAUCGGGUGUGUCUAUUUCUUUUGAUUAUUCAAUUUCAUGUAUUGAACUCAUAUAUUAAUUUUUAUAUCGGGUCACAUAGGGUCUAAAGUUUCAACAUACACUAAACUACCUUAAUUUGUUGUUCGUACAUCUGCAUGUUCAAGCAAGUUUGUUGCCCAACACAACCUUGAUUUCUUUUAAGAUUAUUGUUCUUUGAUAAAUCAGUAUAAAAAUUAUUUUCAUUAGUUAAUCCAAAUUGAAGUCUGAAAUUUCUUAUAUGCUAUUUCACAUAUGUCCGAAAGGAUUUUUAUCUUAAUCCUUUUUAAAUCUACCAAGAGAAAUUUAAGAACACCCAAAUGUUUUCCUAUGUAUCUCUAUCAUCAAGAUAUUAGAUUUAUGAUAUAUUUACAGAAAUAAAUUCUAAUUUACUAAAAAAAUUAAUUUUUUUAUUUAGAUCUCUAAUCUUAAUUCUAAUUUACCGCAAGUCAAAGUCUUCUUGGCCAGCGAUGUGUAGAAAAAGAAUCCAUGGAAUGCACAAUCAAAUUUAAAGAAGACGACCCCACUUCUGUCAAACAGUGCUUAUCCUACUGAUUGAGACCGAUGCUGUCAGUUUCCAAAAUUCUAUCUAAUCAUAAAGUUUAAUUUAUUAUUCCAACCACACAUAUUUACUAUUUUGCACCCAAGUUAUUUCGGUCAGUCAACUGUUUCUGAGUCGAGGUGGUGUAGUCUCGAUCGAUUCUAUGCAUACUUGGCUUCACGUUCAUGAUCCACAUGAUGCUCUGCAUCAUAACCACUGGUUCCGUCCAUCCCAACUCUUACCCCUUUCGUCACAUAUGAAGUCUCCGAUGGUGAAGGUGCUCUCCGCAUCGCCACGAAACUUGGAAUGGGCUGACAAGUCGAAGUCUUACCUCUUUCGUCACAUAUGAAGUCUUCUUUAGAGAACGGGUCGGUACAAUUAAUUGUGUGCAUCGGUUGGCUUACAAAUUUGUGAUUUGGAAUAGCGUAGCAUGCACCUUCGCCCUGUUCUUCUCAUCAUUCUUCUCGUCAUUGUUGUUGAGCCUGUUGGGCAUCCUCCUUCUCCACGGGGCAGAGGUGGCACGAGGGUGUUUUAGCAUGGAGAGGGAGGCGCUGCUGGACUUCAAAGCUGGUGUCGGAGACACCCGCAACCGGCUAUCUUCUUGGACAGGCCACCACUGUUGCACAUGGAAGGGAGUGGCCUGCGACACCACCACUGGCCACGUCGUCAUGCUGGACCUCCGAAACACAAAUACUACAGAUGAUUGGGCAAUUACGCGGUGAGGGGAUGAUGAACUCGUCAUUACUUGCUUUAUCUCAUCUGAAGCACUUGGAUCUUAGCUUCAAUAAUUUCAGCGGGAUCCGCAUACCGGAAUUCAUCGGCUCCUUCAAGAAACUGAGAUACCUCAAUCUAUCUUCUACACAAUUCAUGGGAGGAAUACCUGCUCGCGUGGGGAACCUUUCGAGCCUCUACGUUCUUGAUCUAAGCGAUGCUUUAUACGUCGAUGAUUAUGGCAACGGAUAUCCCGUCGACAACCUCGACUGGCUCUCCCAUCUCACGUCCUUGAAGCACCUGAACUUGAGCGGGUUGAACCUAAUCGAUGUCCCAGAUUGGUUCUCGGCGGUGAACAUGCUGCCGUCCCUCCAGGUGUUAAACAUGUCUUACGGUGGUCUCAAUAGCAUCCCGGUUUCUGUUGUCCACGUCAACUUCACCUCCUCUCUUACCGUCCUUGAUCUCCAUUAUUCUGGGUUCUAUGGCGUUAUUCCCGAUGCAAUUGGAGACUUGGGCAGACUGAAAGAAUUAUAUAUGCCGGGCAACCAAUUGACAGGAAAUUUGAGCGGUUGGUUGGAGCAAAUGACGAAUCUCAUCAUUUUGGAUCUCCGAUCUAAUUUAUUCAACUGUUCCAUGCCUUCUUCCGUUGGUAAGCUAUCUAAUCUCACUGAAUUGUAUCUCGGUGGAAAUUCUCUGAGAGGUAUCAUUUCAGAAGUUCAUUUUGAGAAUCUUACAAGAUUACAAGUAUUAGACUUGUAUGGUACCUCCAUCACCAUAUCAAUUGGCCAGAGUUGGGUCCCCCCUUUCCAACUCAGAUUAGUAGAUUUAACUAAAUGUCAGUUGGGACCUCAAUUUCCAGAAUGGUUGCAGUUCCAAACACAGAUCGAAGAAUUAUAUUUGGCAGACUGUAAAAUUGCAGGGACAAUGCCAGCUUGGUUUUGGAAUAUUUCAUCUUCUACCAUCACAUAUUUAGACCUUUCCAACAACCAAAUAGGAGGGAAGCUGCCAUCUUCUUUAAAGUUCACCAAGUUGGUAAUAUUAUUUUUGUAUUCCAACAGAUUUGAAGGUCCAUUGCCAACGAUGCUACCGUCUACACUUGAAACUCUAUACCUCUCCAAUAAUUCCUUUACAGGGCAAUUGCCGAUAUGGCCCCAUGUUAGAUUUGUGUCAAUCUCAGAUAACAUGCUCGACGGUGGCUUAUCUUCAUCAAUCUGCCAAUGGACAUAUCUCGAAUACCUUGACCUUUCGAACAACAAAUUACUUGGUGAGAUCCCUUAUUGUCUAGGGGAGUCAUUACAAAAUCCUCAUUUCUUGAAUUUGGCCAACAAUCACUUCUCGGGUGAAAUUCCACACACGAUCGGUUUUUUAAGUGAGCUUUUGCUAUUGCAACUGCAAAAUAACAGUUUUUCGGGUGAGGUUCCUUUGUCAUUGAAAAAUUGUACAAAUUUAUGGUGUCUUGAUCUGACUCAGAAUAAUCUUGUCGGAAGCAUAACGCUAUGGAUGGGAGAAAAUCUACAACAACUGGUAGUGCUUCGUUUACGUUCAAAUAUGUUUUCAGGAGUUAUUCCUUGGCAACUUGCUCGAUUUGAACGGCUUCAAAUAUUGGAUCUUGCGAAUAACAACUUCUCUGGUUCAAUACCUCACAACAUUGGUAAUUUAAAUAUUAUGAGAUCAACAUCACAACAUUAUGAAUUUUGUUCUAAUGAAUUAGAUAUCUUUACGAAGGGACAAGAUCUUCAUUAUUUAAAAUGCAGCAUGAAACUUAUGAAAAGUUUGGAUCUUUCAAAUAAUAGUCUAAUCGGAGAGAUCCCGAAAGGAAUUGGAGACCUUGCAGGACUCAAGAACUUAAAUUUGUCAAGAAAUUAUUUACAAGGAAAAAUCCCUUGGGAGAUAGGAGGAAUGAAAUCAUUAGAAUCCCUUGAUCUAUCGAUAAAUGAUCUUUAUGGUAGUAUUCCUGAGAGCUUAUCGGCUUUAUAUUUCUUGAGCUAUUUGAAUUUGUCAUAUAAUAAUCUUUCGGGAAUGAUACCAUCUGGUCGUCAACUUCAAACACUCAAUGAUCCAUCCAUUUACAUGGGUAAUGCCGACUUAUGUGGACCACCCACUUCCAAAAGUUGUUUUGAUAAUAAAACAACUCAAAUUGAUAUACAAGAGCACGAGAAGGAGAUUUCCGAUUGGCUAUGGUUCUAUAUUAGCAUGGUACUAGGAUUUGUGAUGGGAUUUUGGAUAUUUUGUGGUAUUCUCUUCCUCAAAGACGCAUGGAGGCAUGCUUAUUUCCAUUUCAUUGAUGAUGUGUAUGAUUGGGUUUGGGUGCAAUGGAAAUUAAUUCUUCCACGAUUGUUGAGACGUUAAUCCUAAAAUUUCUAGCGUGGAUGAUCCUAGGCUUUCCGGUAGAUGAGGAGAAGGUAUGUCAUCACUCUACUUUUUAUUUAUAUGAUAUUUUGGAUUCCUAGAUGUUGGUUGUGAUCGAUGAAAAAAGAAUUUGUAUUGUUGAUCUAAGAAAGGAUGGGCUGCUAUAUUUAUGGAGUUUGAGAUCAAUUUCUAUGUAAUGUGGUUGUUUACAGUCUUCUUCUUCUAUUUGAUGUUUGCAUAAUUAUAACAUCGUGCAAGAACAGAUUUUUCUCUCUUACACAAUUCACUUGGUGCAUGCUUUUUCAAUAUCGGAAACUUCGACUUUGUCAU
This 8606-nucleotide long non-coding RNA is filed under the name Musa acuminata (dwarf banana). RNAcentral's name for it is "long non-coding RNA (MACU_LNC007551)". Lineage: Eukaryota; Viridiplantae; Streptophyta; Magnoliopsida; Zingiberales; Musaceae. The record is from RNAcentral.